This 666-nucleotide ribosomal RNA is filed under the name Enterococcus sp. FBPers-11_02-09. Its description in RNAcentral is "bacterial SSU rRNA". It matches the Rfam family "Bacterial small subunit ribosomal RNA", at positions 74 to 719 of the family's 1533-position model. RNAcentral also lists the same sequence under 3 other names. Lineage: Bacteria; Bacillati; Bacillota; Bacilli; Lactobacillales; Enterococcaceae. The record is from RNAcentral.
CGGAGCUUGCUCCACCGGAAAAAGAGGAGUGGCGAACGGGUGAGUAACACGUGGGUAACCUGCCCAUCAGAAGGGGAUAACACUUGGAAACAGGUGCUAAUACCGUAUAACAAUCGAAACCGCAUGGUUUUGAUUUGAAAGGCGCUUUCGGGUGUCGCUGAUGGAUGGACCCGCGGUGCAUUAGCUAGUUGGUGAGGUAACGGCUCACCAAGGCCACGAUGCAUAGCCGACCUGAGAGGGUGAUCGGCCACAUUGGGACUGAGACACGGCCCAAACUCCUACGGGAGGCAGCAGUAGGGAAUCUUCGGCAAUGGACGAAAGUCUGACCGAGCAACGCCGCGUGAGUGAAGAAGGUUUUCGGAUCGUAAAACUCUGUUGUUAGAGAAGAACAAGGAUGAGAGUAACUGUUCAUCCCUUGACGGUAUCUAACCAGAAAGCCACGGCUAACUACGUGCCAGCAGCCGCGGUAAUACGUAGGUGGCAAGCGUUGUCCGGAUUUAUUGGGCGUAAAGCGAGCGCAGGCGGUUUCUUAAGUCUGAUGUGAAAGCCCCCGGCUCAACCGGGGAGGGUCAUUGGAAACUGGGAGACUUGAGUGCAGAAGAGGAGAGUGGAAUUCCAUGUGUAGCGGUGAAAUGCGUAGAUAUAUGGAGGAACACCAGUGGCGAA